Molecule: ribosomal RNA, 484 nt
Filed under: uncultured bacterium
Lineage: Bacteria
Description: partial 16S ribosomal RNA
Rfam family: Bacterial small subunit ribosomal RNA
Source: RNAcentral
AUUGAACGCUGGCGGCAGGCCUAACACAUGCAAGUCGAGCGGAUGAAGGGAGCUUGCUCCUGGAUUCAGCGGCGGACGGGUGAGUAAUGCCUAGGAAUCUGCCUGGUAGUGGGGGAUAACGUCCGGAAACGGGCGCUAAUACCGCAUACGUCCUGAGGGAGAAAGUGGGGGAUCUUCGGACCUCACGCUAUCAGAUGAGCCUAGGACGGAUUAGCUAGUUGGUGGGGUAAAGGCCUACCAAGGCGACGAUCCGUAACUGGUCUGAGAGGAUGAUCAGUCACACUGGAACUGAGACACGGUCCAGACUCCUACGGGAGGCAGCAGUGGGGAAUAUUGGACAAUGGGCGAAAGCCUGAUCCAGCCAUGCCGCGUGUGUGAAGAAGGUCUUCGGAUUGUAAAGCACUUUAAGUUGGGAGGAAGGGCAGUAAGUUAAUACCUUGCUGUUUUGACGUUACCAACAGAAUAAGCACCGGCUAACUUCGUG